Molecule: long non-coding RNA, 794 nt
Organism: Helicoverpa armigera (cotton bollworm)
Lineage: Eukaryota; Metazoa; Arthropoda; Insecta; Lepidoptera; Noctuidae
Exons: 2
Source: RefSeq, a predicted model, not a curated record
UGAAUUACAACUCUGACAUUCACAACUGUUGCGAUGCGUGUAUAGUGUAGUGUAACACGGUUGCUUGGUGCUGGCGCCGGCGGUGUCGGCGUGUCCAUCGGAGGCUUGAAGUCUGGAGGCCCUAGUCCUGGGCCUGGCAGCCUGUAGGAUGGCAUUCCAGCCAGAUUGUGACUCAUUCUGAUAUUAUUCAGUUUCAGCUCUAACAACCAUCAUCAUGAAUCAAUGACAUGAACAUUUUAGAAAAUGUAUUCGCACAUAAGGCACCGCAUUGUCACGAGAAAGCGCAAUAACGUGCCGGAAGACUGGUUGUGUCUAUUUCUGUAACAAAAAAAUAUUACAGUUGAAACAAUUUCUCUGCAAGUAUGAUACUCUACAGAAGUGAUAUUGCACAACGUUAUGGUGUUUCAUUUCAUUGAUCGCCAAAAUUCUGUUGACGAUGAUGGUUACGAAUUUACGAUUCCCCAAGAUUGACACUAACUUAGGUAACCUGCCAAUAAUAAAUGCAGAAAAACACAGUUUCGAUUGUUAAUCUUGAACUUUCUACCUAUUCUUUGUGAGAUAUAUCAUAAAUAAUAAUAUAAAACUUACAGCAUUAUCAAAUAAGCAUCGGAAUUACUGAUUAUUUUUUUUUGUCUUCAUUGAAAUCCCAAGGCAGGCGUGCAACAUAUGACAAAAUACCAAAAGUAAAUCACUUUAUAGCGCCAGAUUUUGUUAUUCACAGAAAGCCGCCUGAUUGUUUAAUGUUGUAACACACACGAAGUUCACUUAUAACAAGAUUUAGUUAUGCAUCAAAA